GCUACUUCCUGUGAGCAGCCCAGGGAUGGCCAGUCACUUGUGACCUACUUUCAGAGCUGGCAGUUCUGACUUCUAGAACAAACUCGGAACAAGCCCAUCUACAGCUGGUUGACUGAGUUUCCUUUGGGCUCCUGGCACCAGAAAGAAUUGCUCACUGGAAGGAUCAUAGGUGGCACUCAUGUCUCACUGCCCCACUCAGAGCAGAGAUGCCUCACUGUGAUAGGUAAAUUAAGGUGAUACUGAUUGCCAGCUCCAGUGUGGAAGUCCUGAGGUGAAGGAAUUUCUUUCAUAAACAUUUCAAGUGAGUCGAUCCAGAAUACACCUCCACCAUGAGAUUACCUGUAAUCUAAUUCAACCUCGAAGACGGAGUCCAAACAGCUUGAGGUUCUGCAGAUUUCACAACAGCAGCCACAAAAUGAAAGUGAACA
Molecule: long non-coding RNA, 428 nt
Filed under: Pan troglodytes (chimpanzee)
Lineage: Eukaryota; Metazoa; Chordata; Mammalia; Primates; Hominidae
Description: long non-coding RNA NONPTRT011738
Source: RNAcentral